GACGAACGCUGGCGGCGUGCUUAACACAUGCAAGUCGAACGGAAAGGCGCUGCUUUUGUGGGGUGCUCGAGUGGCGAACGGGGGAGUAACACGUGAGUAACCUGCCCUUGACUUUGGGAUAACUUCAGGAAACUGGGGCUAAUACCGGAUAGGAGCUCCUGCUGCAUGGGGGGGGUUGGAAAGUGUCGGCGGUUGGGGAUGGACUCGCGGCUUAUCAGCUUGUUGGUGGGGUAGUGGCGUACCAAGGCUUUGACGGGUAGCCGGCCUGAGAGGGUGACCGGCCACAUUGGGACUGAGAUACGGACCAGACUCCUACGGGAGGCAGCAGUGGGGAAUAUUGCACAAUGGGCGGAAGCCUGAUGCAGCAACGCCGCGUGCGUGAUGACGGCCUUCGGGUUAUAAACCGCUUUCGCCUGUGACGAAGCGUGAGUGACGGUAAUGGGUAAAGAAGCACCGGCUAACUACGUG
This 468-nucleotide ribosomal RNA is filed under the name uncultured bacterium. RNAcentral's name for it is "partial 16S ribosomal RNA". It matches the Rfam family "Bacterial small subunit ribosomal RNA", at positions 28 to 507 of the family's 1533-position model. The record is from RNAcentral.